CCCUUAGAUGUUCGGGGCCGCACGCGCGCUACACUGAAGGAAUCAGCACGUCUUUCGCCUUGUCCGAAAGGACUGGGUAACCCGCUGAACCUCCUUCGUGCUAGGGAUUGGGGCUUGUAAUUCUUCCCCAUGAACGAGGAAUUCCCAGUAAGCGCGAGUCAUAAGCUCGCGUUGAUUACGUCCCUGCCCUUUGUACACACCGCCCGUCGCUACUACCGAUUGGAUGGUUUAGUGAGAUCCUCGGAUUGGUCCCGGAGCGGCCUCUGGUCGUGCCGGAGUGCCGAAAAGAAUGUCGAACUUGAUCAUCUAGAGGAAGUAAAAGUCGUAACA
This 330-nucleotide ribosomal RNA is filed under the name uncultured eukaryote. RNAcentral describes it as "partial 18S ribosomal RNA". It matches the Rfam family "Eukaryotic small subunit ribosomal RNA", at positions 1470 to 1796 of the family's 1831-position model. The record is from RNAcentral.